RNAcentral lists this ribosomal RNA (2861 nucleotides) under Ambystoma mexicanum (axolotl). RNAcentral's name for it is "eukaryotic LSU rRNA". The stretch from base 693 to 2861 matches the Rfam family "Eukaryotic large subunit ribosomal RNA". Lineage: Eukaryota; Metazoa; Chordata; Amphibia; Caudata; Ambystomatidae. The record is from RNAcentral.
UUUUUUCCCCAUAGGGCCGGGGUCCGGAGAUGCCAGGAAGCGGCAGGACCCGAAAUGCAGUGGGAAUAAUCCAACAGGUAAGACUUAAAGGAAACUGAGCUUUCCUUAUUCUUUUCUCCUCUCACCUUUGUUCUUGUCUUUUUUCCUCUAGGCGCCGGGCGUAGCUGAAUCCGGAAGAUCGCUGCUGAAGAUGGAACCGCCUUGCAAAGGUGAGUAAAAUGCAGCGCUGCAGCGAUCGAAACGAAAUGCCUUUAAAAUGAUGUCUUCCUUUUCAGGGCCGUUGGAGAAAUGACUCCAGGAUGCAGAUUUAGCAGGUAAGGGCUUUUCUUCUCCUAUUCUCUUCCUUUCUCCCUUGCAGGUGUUCCAGGGUGCUGGCAGCGUGGCUGAAGUCAGGAUGCAGGAGCUGACACGGUGAGCGUCCAGCUGCUAGGUGCAGAACAACGCGAAGCAUGUGUGGCUGUUCGGGUGGGGUUUAAAUAGCCUUGGAAGAAGUUCCUGGUAUGUAUCCUUCCACCAAUCAGGUAUGUAUCCUUCCCCGACCACACCCGGGUGGUGAAGUAGUCCUACAGGUUAAGUAGUCCCAUUCAGGCCUCAAGAGGGCCUGGAUGAAGCAGCAAGGUCUGCAUCAGGUAAGUGUUCACCCAAGCACUUAAACACAUAUCCUCUUCUAUGAGCCUGGCGCCUAAGGUGCCAGGACUGGGGUCCGCUAUGAGCCUGGCGCCUAAGGUGCCAGGACUGAGUCCAAAGGGCCCCGACUUGGGCCCGCUGAGACUUCCCUGGGGAAAAUGAUGUCUGCCUCUGGGGUUGCUGGGCCCGGCCUGGCUCCUUAGAGGUAGGCAUCAUGACACAUGGGGAUUAAGCUGCGAUGUGCAAGAGGGCUGCUGUGAUGCGCCUGGUAGACCGGGGCGAGUGCCAGUGUAGAGUCACUACAGGUGCAGGUCUUGGUGGUUGUGGCAAACAUUCAAAAGAGAAGUUUGAAGGCCAAUGUGGAGGAGGAUACCAUGUGAAUAUCUGAUGAACACGGGUCAGUCGUUCCUAAGAGAUGGGAGAGCCCUGUUCAUCAGGCAACACAAUGGCCUCUGUUCUCCUCAGCCAAUUGAAAGGGACACAGGUUCAGAUCCCCAAACCCAGAGCGGCAGAGAUGGGCACCCUUGCAGUGUCCAUUGCGGCAAUGCAAAUGUUCCCAGAGAAUCCGGGGAGUGUCCUGGGGAAAAAUCUAUUUUCUUUGUGACGGGCAGGGCACCCUGGAAUGUGUGUGCCUUGAAAAACAUUGCAGUUCCAGCAGCAUCUGGUGAUCUCUUGCUGGAAUGUGUGUGUGCCUUGAAAAACAUUGCAGUUCCAGCAGCAUCUGGUGAUUUCUUGCUGGUCCUUGUUAAUCCAGGGGAGAUGGUGUAAAUCUUGCACCGGACAACCCAUAAAUGCAGCAGGUCUCUAAAGCAAACAUCCUCUGGCAUGUUGGAACAAUGUAGGUAAGGGAAGCCGGCAAGUCAGAUCUGUAACUUCAGGAUGAGAAUUGGCUCUAAGCGCUGGUUGGGUAAGUCUGGUGCAUGAAGUGGGGCUGUAUGAUGCACCCUCCACACCACCCCAAAGGGUCCCCACAAACUCUUGAUGCAAGCUGGGCCCUUCCAGUGGAUGCCAACAAUAGCUGGGGUGGUCGCUUUUUUCUGCAUUUCUCUCCCAGGGCUCGGCUUAGAACUGGUGCAUACUAGGGGAAUCUGAUGAUUUCAUUAAAAAAGGCAUCACAAAGUCCCAUAGCAGAUGUUGAUACAUUGUGAUUUCUGACCAGUGCUCUGAAUGUCAAAGAGAUUCAGUGAUGCACGGUAAAAACAGCAGGAGUAACUAUGACUCUGUAAAGGUGGCCAAAUGUUUUGUCAUCUAAUUAGUGGCAAGCAUGAAUAGAUAAAUGGGAAUCCCACUGUCCAUUCCUACUAUCUAGUGAUACCACAGCCAAGGGAAUGGCUUGGUUGAAUCAGCAAGGGUAGGAGAUCCAGUUGAGCAUGACUCUAGUCAGGAACUGUGAAGAGACAUGUGAAGUGCAGGAUUAGUGGGUGGCCCUCGGGCCGGCAGUGAUAUACCACACUCGUUAUAAUUUAUUCAUUAACCCAGUGAGUUGGGUGGCAAUCUCAGUGGGGCUGUUGCUUAUGGCUAAAAGCACCCAGCUGUAAGCAGCCAUAACCCCCUCUGGGGACAUUGGAAAGUAGGGACAUAGACUGGGGCAGCGUACCUGUCAAAUGAUAAUGCAAGUGUCCUAAGGCAAGCUCAGGGAGGACAGAGACCUUCCGGAUAGCCAAAGGGCAAAAGUUUACCUGAAUCUCAAUUUUCAUUAUGAAUACAGUCUGUGAAAGUGUGACCUCAUGAUCCUUCUGACUUUUUUAAGCAGGAUGAGUCAUAAAAUUACCACAGGGGUACCUGUCUUGUGCUGGCCAAGUGUUCAUAGCUAUGUCACAUUUUGAUCCUUCUUCUCGGCUCCUUCCUAUCAUUGUGAAGCAAAAUUCACCAGACAUUGGAUUGUUCAACCCAUUAAUAGCGAACCUGAGCUGGGUUUAGACCAUCAUGUGACAGGUUAGAUUUACCAUACUGAUGAUGUGUUUUUGCAAUAGUAAUCCUGCUUAGUGUCAGAGGUACCACAGGUUCAGACAUUUGUUUAAUGUGCUUGACUGAGGAGCCAAUGGUGCAAGGCUGCCUUCUCUGGGAUUAUGACAGAAAGCCUCUAAAUCAGAAUACCCCCUAAACUGUAAUUUUACCGCAGCACUGUGGACCAUUGUUUGUCCUAAAAUAGCCAACCUCUGGAUUGGUGCAUAGAUCUGCUUGCCUUAGGACACGAUAGUGCACAGAAAGAGGCAACUUCUCUUGCCUGUAGU